GAAAGAGGCGGGCGGAGGACGCAGGGGCGGGCCUGCGGCUCAGGCAGGAAGCGGGAAGGCCGGGCCUCCCUGGCCCCGCCCCGGCCGGGCGGCCGGACCUCGGACGACUUGGCGCUCCGGGACAGCAGCAGACGCCCAAGCUCCGGCAGCGCAGAGCCCCGCCGGGGGCCCGGGGGGCUGGGAGCCGGGGAUCGCGGGGACGGAAGUGGGGGACCGAGUCUCGCGAGCCCGGGCCCUCCUCGCAGCUGGGGCCCCACUGGCGCCCCCGCGGGAGCGCUACGGGAGAGGCGCCUAUGCGGCUGCAGGUUUUAUUAUGGAGCUGUCAAGGUAGAAAGAGUUUGACUCUUCCACAAUAAUUUGGCACCCAGCGUGGGGCCUCAGAGAAGACUCAGGACCCCAAAGGAGUUGCCUGAACUCGGAGCGAAGAUACCAGUGGGGCCCAUUGAAGCCUCCCAGACUUCUAGCUUCUCCCCCGAUGGAACUGGUUAAGUUCUCCUGAGCCCCAGAUCGCCCUUUGGUUGACAGUCCUUCGUUUAGUGUGAGCUGGUUUUUCUCCUAGGAAGUUGUUGUUUAAGGAUUCUAAUUCUAGUUCAGAGACACAUUCUAAAGGGUUUUCUUUAUUGCUUUUUCUCCCAAAAUUAAUCUUGAUUCGGCUUGUCUGCGCAUUUGUGUGAGGAAUUGAACUGUUGUUUUCAUAGGUAAAUGAGAGACUGAGUUUUCUCAACUCCAAAGAGAAAGGCAUUUGCUCCUCCCAGCCAAAACGUGCUCCUGGGUGACUGGGGGCCUUGUGGGAGUGUCUGGGGGGGGGUUGACAUCCUGUGACAUGCAGCAGCCCUAUGGGGAAAUCCCCAACAAAAAUUAAUUUUAAAAAUGGCUUGUCCAGGAAUGCAUAUAAGGACUGAUCACCCAUCAUUUUGAGCCCUCUCAAAGGUAAUAGACCUCUGGAGAGAGAAACUGAGACAUGUAACAGGGUGGAAACAACUCAGUGGUGACACAUGGUGGGGUCCUGCCCACAAGCAGCACACAUUGAUCCACCACACAAAAACCCUAGGCCACAGCUCAGUUCCUACUUCUAAGAAAAAAAAAGGUGGGAAACAAAUGAUCUAAGAAUGAGGAGAAAACAAGGAGAAUGACCUCAUUUCGGGCACUCUGUUGGUUUUAUGGUGCGUCUACUUGCCAGAGCUUAUGUAAAAUGGAAAUAUAAUGAUCCUUGUGCACAUUUACAUUAAGGAAAAGAGCCCUAAGGUCAACCUGUACACUAUAGAGUUCCUAAGUUCUCUUCUUCUCUAUAUUUUCUGCCUGCUUUAAAUCUGCUUUUACUUUUGUACUGAAAUUAAAAACCACUGUUUGGAUCUAA
Molecule: long non-coding RNA, 1357 nt
Filed under: Homo sapiens (human)
Lineage: Eukaryota; Metazoa; Chordata; Mammalia; Primates; Hominidae
Description: HSALNT0314322
Source: RNAcentral